CGGCGAGUGAAGCGGCAACAGCUCAAAUUUGAAAUCUGGCCCUUUCAGGGUCCGAGUUGUAAUUUGUAGAGGGUGCUUUGGUGUUGGCCGCAGUCUAAGUUCCUUGGAACAGGACGUCACAGAGGGUGAGAAUCCCGUACGUGGCUGAUGGUCUUCGCCGUGUAAAGCCCCUUCGACGAGUCGAGUUGUUUGGGAAUGCAGCUCUAAAUGGGAGGUAAAUUUCUUCUAAAGCUAAAUAUUGGCCAGAGACCGAUAGCGCACAAGUAGAGUGAUCGAAAGAUGAAAAGCACUUUGGAAAGAGAGUCAAAAAGCACGUGAAAUUGUUGAAAGGGAAGCGCUUGCGAUCAGACUUGCUCGUAGUUGCUCAUCUGGACUCUUGCCUGGUGCACUCUUCUGCGGGCAGGCCAGCAUCAGUUCGGGCGGCUGGAUAAAGGCCUCUAUCACGUAUCUUCCUUCGGGAUGACCUUAUAGGGGAGGCGUAAUGCAGCCAGCCUGGAUUGAGGUCCGCGCAUCUGCUAGGAUGCUGGCGUAAUGAUUGUAAGCGGCCCGUCUUGAAACACGGACCAAGGAGUCUAACAUCUAUGCGAGUGUUUGGGUGUCAAGCCCGGGCGCGCAAUGAAAGUGAACGGAGGUGGGAACCCUCACGGGUGCACCAUCGACCGAUCCUGAUGUCUUCGGAUGGAUUUGAGUAAGAGCAUAGCUGUUGGGACCCGAAAGAUGGUGAACUAUGCCUGAAUAGGGUGAAGCCAAAGGAAACUCUGGUGGAGGCUCGCAGCGGUUCUGACGUGCAAAUCGAUCGU
RNAcentral lists this ribosomal RNA (800 nucleotides) under Nigrograna sp. VVS-2018a. RNAcentral's name for it is "partial large subunit ribosomal RNA". It matches the Rfam family "Eukaryotic large subunit ribosomal RNA", at positions 87 to 905 of the family's 3401-position model. The record is from RNAcentral. Lineage: Eukaryota; Fungi; Ascomycota; Dothideomycetes; Pleosporales; Nigrogranaceae.